Podarcis muralis (Common wall lizard) is the source of this 891-nucleotide long non-coding RNA. RefSeq lists it as uncharacterized. Lineage: Eukaryota; Metazoa; Chordata; Lepidosauria; Squamata; Lacertidae. The record is from RefSeq and is a predicted model, not a curated record.
CUGGUCUGCUGGCGCGUCCCUAACCGAAGGCGCAAUUCUAAAUUCUAAGUUCUUGGCGACGCGGGGGAAGAUAGUCGCGCCACCAGAGCUCAAAGGCGGCUGCGACGCAGCGUUCACAUAACCGAGUAAGCAGAUAGGCCCGGAAUGCCCUCCUCCAGGAAAGAGCAGGGGGUCUGAUUAUGACAGCCCCUCUCAAGAAAACUGGGCAAAGAGCAGCGAGAUUAACAGAGCAGAAUAAAUUUGCGUGGUGGGGGGCAGAAUCUGUGAUCGAAUCUCAAGGCUUGAGAUGCUGAGAUCUUGGCAAGAGUCAGACCCCUGAAGCGAUGUGAAGAUCGGGUUUCUCCACCUGGGGAAUUUCCACUUGGACCUUUGGCCUCGCUUGCCGCAGGGAAGCUGCUGAAGUUUUUGCGCAACCUGACUCUUCAUGCACGCACAUCACACAAAGGUUUUCCCCUCAAGUGUUUCUUUGCUUUGGGGAACAAAGUCCGCAGCUGUGCAGAAAUGAAAGUAAAACUGGCCCCAGCCUUGCACAACAAAAACUUUCAGAGUCGACAUUUCCUUCUCAACCUUUACAGCAGCCGGACUACAAGGACUCUUAAGAAUGACCUUGGUGUUAUUUUUUUCCUCAUAUUGAACACUGGACGAGCCAAAACAGUCUUCAGGGGAACGAACACUUUUUCUUUUUCUUUUAAAGCAUUAGGUACUGUACUCGGGAGCAGAUGCCGUGUGUUCCACAUGUUCAUUUUACAGAAAUGCGAUCCCCUCCAUCAUAAGCGCAACAAGGGAGUCAUGUUCUAGAAAGUAAUGUAAGCCCAUUGCGACUGAAAAGUCACAAAUGGGCUGUGCUUCUGUAUUAAACAGAGAGCUCCCCUGAUUCUCAGCAGAGUGGUA